Molecule: ribosomal RNA, 475 nt
Filed under: uncultured bacterium
Lineage: Bacteria
Description: bacterial SSU rRNA
Rfam family: Bacterial small subunit ribosomal RNA
Source: RNAcentral
GGGCUCACACAAGCGGUGGAGCAUGUGGAUCAAUUCGAAGCAACGCGAAGAACCUUACCUGGGUUUGACAUGCAUGGAUGGUCGCCUCGAAAGAGGAGUGAUCUGCCCGCAAGGGUGAAACAUGUACAGGUGCUGCAUGGCUGUCGUCAGCUCGUGCUGUGAAGUGUCGGGUUAAGUCCCUUAACGAGCGAAACCCUUAUCGUUAGUUGCCAGCGGGUCAUGCCGGGAACUCUAACGAGACUGCCGGCGUUAAGCCGGAGGAAGGUGGGGACGACGUCAAGUCAUCAUGGCCUUUAUGCCCAGGGUGUCACACGUGCUACAAUGGAGCGUACAGAGCGAAGCAAGACCGCAAGGUGGAGCAAAUCGCAGAAAACGUUCCUCAGUUCGGAUUGGGGUCUGCAACUCGACCCCAUGAAGCUGGAAUCGCUAGUAAUCGCGUAUCAGCCAUGACGCGGUGAAUGUGUUCCUGAGCCUU